Non-coding RNA from Drosophila kikkawai, 1069 nucleotides. The record is from RefSeq and is a predicted model, not a curated record. NCBI's taxonomy places the organism in Eukaryota, Metazoa, Arthropoda, Insecta, Diptera, Drosophilidae.
CAUUGUCAGUCGAGUUUAAUUCCGAUAUGUUUAAACUUUUGGGAAAUAGAUCGUAAAUCUUCCAGAAAUCUAUCCCCAAAUACAAAUCUUGCUUAAGCGACGGUACAAUGUAAAUUUUCAGUAGCUUCUUUACCUCGGCGUAUUCGACCUCAGCAUUAAAAUACCCUAUUAUUUGCUGUGAUCUGCCAUCUGCUGUUUUAGCAUGACUGUUUAUGGCUUUAUAAACCCCUUGGACUACUACCUCGCAAGCUAAGUUACCUCCUAGACAAAUUAUUGAUGCGCCAGAGUCUAAAAGGCCGUAGACCGUACGAUCCAGAACGCGAAUUGGCAAAAACGGGCGAGGAUUUUUUGACCCAGCAGAAUGCUUUUAUUCUACUAGAACUUCGAGAUUUACGCUUUUCUAAGUCUUGGUGACCUUCACAUUCAGGUAUUAUUAUGUUCUUCAGUAUUUGGAUUUUGCUAUGUAGCAAAGGACUAGCAGGUAAUAGUUGUUCGUCAGGGAUUGAAAGUUGUGCAACGUCAGCUGCAUAUUCUACUCUUCUGUCAUUGUGGCUUGGCUCCGGAAGGCACUCGAAGUCUUCUGUUUGAAUUGCGACUUCGGCGUGCCGGCUUUGGAGUUUUUUGAACACUUACUGCAACUUGGCUUUUCCAACAUAAUAAGGAAAACGCUUCGACAUCAUCCUCACAUUCAGGUUCUGAAUGUAAUUGAGUUUCAUAUUCCUGACUGAAUUCGGACACUUCCCGUUUAAAAGGAGUGCUUCGCAUGUAUCCACUGCAACGCUUGACGUCAGCAAGAAAGGCUUCGCGCCUGCGACAAAUCUCCCUUAAAUCGGACACUGUAUUUAUUUCAAUAUUUAGAAUUUCAUGUCUUAUUUCUGGACGCAAAUUAUUUCUAAGAACUCGAAUUAAUUUACUCGAAGUCCAAGGAUGCUCCAGCUGAUCGACUAAGCCAGAUAUUGUAUCGUAAAAACAAUCAAAAGACUCGUUUGGCUUUUGUUUUGUGUUACGAAUCAAUUCUUCGAUGUCGCCAUCAUCUCUUCUUUGGCGAAACUGGAGACGCAAGGCUGAA